RNAcentral lists this ribosomal RNA (117 nucleotides) under Periophthalmus magnuspinnatus. The record is from RNAcentral. Lineage: Eukaryota; Metazoa; Chordata; Actinopteri; Gobiiformes; Gobiidae.
CUUUCUAGUAGUCCCAUGUUGUGCCUGAUCUUGUCAGAUCUCGUAAACUACCAAGCAAGGUUGGGCCUGGUUUGUACUUGGACUGGAAAUCAUGGGGAAUACCAGGUGCCACACUGG